UCGAACGGUAGUAUGGUGCUUGCACUAUAUGAGAGUGGCGGACGGGUGAGUAACACGUAGAUAAUCUACCCUUGUGUUGGGGAUAGCUUAUGGAAACAUAGGGUAAUACCGAAUACGGUCUUAGAAUCGAUAGGGUUUUAAGAAGAAAGGUGCUACGGCAUCGCACGAGGAGGAGUCUGCGGUAGAUUAGCUAGUUGGUAAGGUAAAGGCUUACCAAGGCGACGAUCUAUAGCCGGCCUGAGAGGGUGAACGGCCACACUGGGACUGAGAAUGGCCCAGACUCCUACGGGAGGCAGCAGCUAAGAAUCUUCCGCAAUGGACGAAAGUCUGACGGAGCGACGCCGCGUGAACGAAGAAGCAGAGAUGUUGUAAAGUUCUUUUAUCAGGGAGGAAUAAUGAGAGGAGGGAAUGCCUUUCAGAUGACGUUAACUGUUGAAUAAGCCCCGGCAAAUUACGUGCCAGCAGCCGCGGUAACACGUGAGGGGCGAGCGUUGUUCGGAAUUAUUGGGCGUAAAGGGCGCGUAGCGGUUCUGCAAGUCUGAUGUAAAAGUGUGGGCUUAACCCGCACAAGCGUUGGAAACUGUAGAACUAGAGUAGUUGAGGGGGAGCUGGAAUUCCUAGUGUAGAGGUAAAAUUU
Molecule: ribosomal RNA, 637 nt
Filed under: uncultured Spirochaeta sp.
Lineage: Bacteria; Pseudomonadati; Spirochaetota; Spirochaetia; Spirochaetales; Spirochaetaceae
Description: bacterial SSU rRNA
Rfam family: Bacterial small subunit ribosomal RNA
Source: RNAcentral